UACGGAAGGCAGCAGUGGGGAAUAUUGCACAAUGGGCGAAAGCCUGAUGCAGCUAUGCCGCGUGUAUGAAGAAGGCCUUAGGGUUGUAAAGUACUUUCAUCGGGGAGGAAAAAACAAAACUAAUAAUUUUAUUUCUUGACGUUACCCGAAAAAGAAGCACCGGCUAACUCCGUGCCAGCAGCCGCGGUAAUACGGAGGGUGCUAGCGUUAAUCAGAAUUACUGGGCGUAAAGAGCACGUAGGUGGUUUUUUUAAGUCAGAUGUGAAAUCCCUGGGCUUAACCUAGGAACUGCAUUUUGAAACUGAAAUACUAGAGUAUCGUAGAGGGAGGUAGAAUUCUAGGUGUAGCGGUGAAAUGCGUAGAUAUCUGGAGGAAUACCUGUGGCGAAAGCGGCCUCCUAAACGAAUACUGACACUGAGGUGCGAAAGCGUGGGGAGCAAACAGGGAUUAAGAUACC
This 457-nucleotide ribosomal RNA is filed under the name uncultured bacterium. Its description in RNAcentral is "bacterial SSU rRNA". It matches the Rfam family "Bacterial small subunit ribosomal RNA", at positions 340 to 786 of the family's 1533-position model. The record is from RNAcentral.